UACAGAGGUCUCAAGCGUUAAUCGGAAUCACUGGGCUUAAAGGGUGCGCAGGCGGAUCCGACAGUGCUUUGUGAAAUACCACCGCUCAACGGUGGAACAGCUUGGCAUACUACGGAUCUUGAGCCCGACAGGGGUCGUCGGAACGCUAGGUGGAGCGGUGAAAUGCGUAGAUAUCUAGCGGAACGCCAAUGGUGAAGACAGACGACUGGGUCGGCGCUGACGCUCAGGCACGAAAGCGUGGGGAGCAAACGGG
This 253-nucleotide ribosomal RNA is filed under the name uncultured Phycisphaera sp. RNAcentral describes it as "partial 16S ribosomal RNA". It matches the Rfam family "Bacterial small subunit ribosomal RNA", at positions 524 to 776 of the family's 1533-position model. Lineage: Bacteria; Pseudomonadati; Planctomycetota; Phycisphaerae; Phycisphaerales; Phycisphaeraceae. The record is from RNAcentral.